AUGGUAAAACCGCGAAUGGCUCAUUAAAUCAGCUAUGGUUCCUUAGAUCUUAUAUCCAUACUUGGAUAACUGUGGUAAUUCUAGAGCUAAUACAUGCGUUAAAGCCCCGACUUAGCAGAAGGGUGGCUUUAUUAGAACAAAACCUACCGGCUUCGGCUGUUGGUUUGGUGACUCUGGAUAACUUUUCUGAUCGCACGGCCAAGCGCCAGCGACGUAUCUUUCAAAUGUCUGCCCUAUCAAGUAUCGACGGUAAAUUAUAAGUCUACCGUGCUUUUGACGGGUAACGGGGAAUCAGGGUUCGAUUCCGGAGAGGGAGCCUUAGAAAUGGCUACCACAUCUAAGGAAGGCAGCAGGCGCGCAAAUUACCCACUCUCAGCUAGAGGAGGUAGUGACGAAAAAUAACGAUGCGGGACUCAUUUGAGGCUCCGCAAUUGGAAUGAGAACAAUUUAAAUCCUUUAACGAGGAACAAUUGGAGGGCAAGUCUGGUGCCAGCAGCCGCGGUAACUCCAGCUCCAAUAGCGUAUAU
This 527-nucleotide ribosomal RNA is filed under the name Myobulla sp. n. 214386051. Its description in RNAcentral is "SSU rRNA". It matches the Rfam family "Eukaryotic small subunit ribosomal RNA", at positions 78 to 604 of the family's 1831-position model. The record is from RNAcentral. Lineage: Eukaryota; Metazoa; Platyhelminthes; Rhabdocoela; Polycystididae. RNAcentral also lists the same sequence under 1 other name.